RNAcentral lists this ribosomal RNA (1765 nucleotides) under Triticum aestivum (bread wheat). Its description in RNAcentral is "partial small subunit ribosomal RNA". Lineage: Eukaryota; Viridiplantae; Streptophyta; Magnoliopsida; Poales; Poaceae. The record is from RNAcentral.
UUCGUCUGGUUGGUCGACCUAAGGGCGUAUUAAUUUCCGUAGCAGUCCCCACAUUUAGAGUAGAAAUAAGACUGCGGCCUAGGUCUAGACUCCGAGCAAAAGGAAAUAUUCUCAUGGGAGAGCUGGAGUGCUCGAGAGUGGUCUAUACUUCGAGCAUCCGUCGUCCGGAGGGGAUCUAGGUACUCUUUACUCGACGUCACGCACAAUCACCUACUUUCGAGUUUUGCGAAAGUAUCUAGGACUGUCAAAACUUCAUUAUCGUCCGGACCGAAACGAAAAGAAGUUUCGUAGAACUCUCUGGUUUUAGACGUUAAAAACCGUGGUACAACAGUAGUUCGUUAUAUAAACGUCCAAACUCCAGAUUAACCUCUUAUACUUAGAACACCUCUAUUACGUUUGGGAGUGUUUAAGGGAACUAAUAAAGUAUCGCGAAACAGGUAACUCUAAGAGAAGUAACUCUUUAACACACCGUACCCUGUUAACGUUACGUACUAUUUUUUAUUCUCGUUUUUAUAUCAUACUAGAUAACCUAUAACACAACUGAGUGUUCCUUUCUGGUUUUAUGUUUUUUUCCGUUUACUAACGAGACGCAACGUACAGAUGGAUCCGCUUAGAUGUACGGAUACAUUGUUUAAGUUCUACGUACCCAGACGUACAUCUCUCGCGAUAGUUUAUUAGUUCCUUAAACGCUCCCAAAUGUAAUAGAAGUGUUCUCUAUAUAACAAGCGAAUCUGGAAUCUGGACGUUUGUAUAAAGAUCUACUGUUAUACUACGAUUUUUAACGCCUAAAAACAAAGAGUACUACGAACCUCCUUUUUGUUUCGGUUCGAUAACGAAGUUUUGUCAAACCUAGAUACAUUAGAUCGGUUGGUUGUUAGAAGCUUUCGAGCUUACGGAAGGAAAGGGGCAAGUAAUUAUUCAACUAUACCUAGAAAUACGUCCCGUAAUCUGAGAAUUCUACCUUUUAGUGCGAUCUCGAUGUGUAUAUCAAAACGAGAAUGUUAGCAUGUUAUCAUAUUAUCCCUUUUCCCCGUAACUACUUUACAGAACGACAGUAUUGUAUACUUACGUUAUCCAAGAACUUUGAACCCCCUCAUCCAACAUCUUUAGUAGUCCUGCUAUAAACUACGGACAUCAUACGUGUCCGACAUCAGUUACCGAGCUGUUUUGUCUUGCGUGUUUAUGAAAAAAAGUCUGAACGUAACCAUCCAGUAACAAACACGUCCAUUCGAGUAAAUACCUGGUACCGUACGAGGUGAUUGGAGAAAAAACAUCUUGGACACAUGUAGUAAGGUACUACGAGGCUCGACCACCUACUCUAGUUCGGAGCAACCAACAGUGUUGGUUGUCUUUUCCCAAGGCCACCCGACGUCGUUUUACGUGGAUUCCUCGUUUGUACUUCUAUGACACCUCUGUCCGGUUCUUCCUUGUCAGGUCCGUUACUUCUCACCGGGGAGACGAGUAUGAGGUACUGUCAAGAAGGGUAAUUGAUUAGCCGGUUCACACCUAUCACCAACUGCCGUGAUCUUUUCAUCGCAGAGCGGGCUAAAACAGUAACGAAGAACCCUGGACUAAAAAUGCCAGGGUAAGAGUUAAAGGCAAUGUCGAUCAGACCUAAUAGAGUGUAUCUCGUUUGGCCUCACUGGAAAUACAGAUCCAAAGACCAAAGCAAUUGUAAACCUAACUACCUGUACAGUAUAUACCUACAUAAAAAGAAUACUGAAUGUCGAAAUUCAUCGACGAUGAGUGUCACUCUCAAAGUAUA